RNAcentral lists this ribosomal RNA (253 nucleotides) under uncultured bacterium. RNAcentral describes it as "partial 16S ribosomal RNA". It matches the Rfam family "Bacterial small subunit ribosomal RNA", at positions 524 to 776 of the family's 1533-position model. The record is from RNAcentral.
UACAGAGGGUGCAAGCAUUAAUCGGAUUUAUUGGGCGUAAAGAGCGCGCAGGCGGGUUUUUAAGUCAGAUGUGAAAUCCCGGGGCUCAACCCCGGAACAGCAUUUGAAACUGAGAAUCUUGAGGGUAGUCGGAGAAAAUGGAAUUCCACGUGUAGCGGUGAAAUGCGUAGAUAUGUGGAAGAACACCGGUGGCGAAGGCGAUUUUCUAGAUUAUUCCUGACGCUGAGGCGCGAAAGCAAGGGGAUCAAACAGG